This is a ribosomal RNA of 599 nucleotides. It matches the Rfam family "Bacterial large subunit ribosomal RNA", at positions 1826 to 2635 of the family's 2925-position model.
CAAUACCAAUUAAACGUAUAAGAGGUCCCGCCUGCCCUGUGACUAAAAGUUUAACGGCCGCGGUAUUUUGACCGUGCGAAGGUAGCGUAAUCACUUGUCUUUUAAAUGGAGACCUGUAUGAAUGGCAUAACGAGGGCUAAGCUGUCUCCUUUUUCCAGUCAAUGAAAUUGAUCUUCCCGUGCAGAAGCGGGAAUACUUACAUAAGACGAGAAGACCCUAUGGAGCUUCAGACAAAAGGCAGCCCACGUAAAGCACCCCAGUAAAAGGAAACAACAAAAUGGCUUCUGCCCUUAUGUCUUUGGUUGGGGCGACCGCGGGGCAACAAAAAUCCCCCACGUGGAAUAGGAAUACUUCCCUAAAAUCAGAGCCACAGCUCUAAUUAGCAGAACAUCUGACCAAAAAGAUCCGGUAUAAAACCGAUCAACGGACCGAGUUACCCUAGGGAUAACAGCGCAAUCCCCUUUUAGAGCCCAUAUCGACAAGGGGGUUUACGACCUCGAUGUUGGAUCAGGACAUCCUAAUGGUGCAGCCGCUAUUAAGGGUUCGUUUGUUCAACGAUUAAAGUCCUACGAGAUCUGAGUUCAAACCGGGGGGAUGGA